This 29-nucleotide non-coding RNA is filed under the name Mus musculus (house mouse). The record is from RNAcentral. Lineage: Eukaryota; Metazoa; Chordata; Mammalia; Rodentia; Muridae.
UAAAGCAAGAUUCUUUUUUUUGGAGUGGG